UACGGUAGGGUGCAAGCGUUAAUCGGAAUUACUGGGCGUAAAGCGUGCGCAGGCGGUGAUGUAAGACAGAUGUGAAAUCCCCGGGCUCAACCUGGGAACUGCAUUUGUGACUGCAUCGCUAGAGUACGGCAGAGGGGGAUGGAAUUCCGCGUGUAGCAGUGAAAUGCGUAGAUAUGCGGAGGAACACCGAUGGCGAAGGCAAUCCCCUGGGCCUGUACUGACGCUCAUGCACGAAAGCGUGGGGAGCAAACAGG
Molecule: ribosomal RNA, 254 nt
Filed under: uncultured bacterium
Lineage: Bacteria
Description: partial 16S ribosomal RNA
Rfam family: Bacterial small subunit ribosomal RNA
Source: RNAcentral